This 72-nucleotide transfer RNA is filed under the name Bos taurus (domestic cattle). It matches the Rfam family "tRNA". Rfam says of the family: Transfer RNA (tRNA) molecules are approximately 80 nucleotides in length. Their secondary structure includes four short double-helical elements and three loops (D, anti-codon, and T loops). Further hydrogen bonds mediate the characteristic L-shaped molecular structure. tRNAs have two regions of fundamental functional importance: the anti-codon, which is responsible for specific mRNA codon recognition, and the 3' end, to which the tRNAs corresponding amino acid is attached (by aminoacyl-tRNA synthetases). tRNAs cope with the degeneracy of the genetic code in two manners: having more than one tRNA (with a specific anti-codon) for a particular amino acid; and 'wobble' base-pairing, i.e. permitting non-standard base-pairing at the 3rd anti-codon position. The record is from Rfam by way of RNAcentral. RNAcentral also lists the same sequence under 3 other names. Lineage: Eukaryota; Metazoa; Chordata; Mammalia; Artiodactyla; Bovidae.
UCCCUGGUAGUCUAGUUGUUAAGACUCUGCACUUUGAAUGCAAGGGAUGUUAGUUCAAUCCCUAGUCUGGAA